CCUCCUCCACAUUCACCUCUGACCUCUUAUUGCUGCCCUGUAUGAUGCUCUUUUCCAACGUUGAUUUCAAUUUGCUUUAAGUGCAACGUUCUGGGAUGUUUUUUUUUUUUUUUCCGGCAUUUGCAAGAUCCCAAGGCCCUUCAUCUCUGAAUAUUUUUUCCUUCAAUGGAAAAAUAUAAUCUCCUUUGUUUACCUCCCUUCAUCAUGCCAUUUGCAAAACUGUUCUUUGCAUGGCCCUUAACUGGCUUUGGCAAGGCCUUGCUCAUUGCAUUCAUGACAAAUGCAAAUAUCUUAAAUUACCAACAUGAACAACUGCAAUAGAUAUUCUUAUGUAUAUUCAUAUAUAGUAUUUCUAUUCAUAUAUAUACAAACAUAAAUCACAUAUUUUAUGCGUCUACUCACAGGUGUCAAAUUCAAGGCCCAGAUUGGGCCCACCACAUCACAAUAGUUUGCCCGCUGAAGCAAAUUAUCUCUAUUCAAAAUAUUAAUCAAUUGAUUUAUUGUACUGAUUAUAAUCCCCAAAGGGGAAUUCAAUUUACACUCUGCUUUUUAUUCAUGCUUCUUUUUAUAAAUCUGAACCAAAAUUGCCAAUUGCCUUCACUUUUUAUAACACUGAGGUAUUUUACAAUUGAACAAUGAUUAACAGGCUAUUUGCCUUGACUUAAAAGUGAUUAUCCAUCAAUCUUUUGUCCAUAUGUAAAUAAUAUUGUGAGGCCGCUGGAAACCAUAACGACAAUGUGGCAUGCAACAAAAUUGAUUUGACAUCUGUGGUCUCCGUGGUCAUGAGACGGUAAUGAAGAAAGGUAGCAAGUUAGCUCAAAGUGAAGUCACGUAUUUCAAAGCAGCUCAAGAAACCAUCUCAAACUAUCUCUUCAAAAAAAUA
Long non-coding RNA from Syngnathus acus (greater pipefish), 883 nucleotides. RefSeq lists it as uncharacterized. The record is from RefSeq and is a predicted model, not a curated record. Lineage: Eukaryota; Metazoa; Chordata; Actinopteri; Syngnathiformes; Syngnathidae. The transcript has 2 exons.